Molecule: long non-coding RNA, 1698 nt
Organism: Girardinichthys multiradiatus
Lineage: Eukaryota; Metazoa; Chordata; Actinopteri; Cyprinodontiformes; Goodeidae
Exons: 4
Source: RefSeq, a predicted model, not a curated record
AAGGGCUGUCAGGGGUUAACCCCGUAAAUGAACAGCUGAGAGCGGUGAUUUAGUCUGUAUAAAAGCAGUCCAACUGUCAUAACAAAGAAGCUUUGACAGCAGGCCAAUCGGAGACAAUGAGGAGUCAUUGGUCCCCUGGAGGCCUCCAGAGACCCCUUUGGACACAUAUACCACACACAUAUACACACACAGACAAUGGGUAGUCAGCAGCAGUCUCUCAGAGGUCUUGUGAGGGUCCAGGGGCUAGACUGAGCUCAGUUGAAAAGAGCCAAGAGGCGUCCAUGACAAAGCCCGGUAGGCGUCAGAGGCCUGUGUACCCCUUCCCUGGUACUCGGAACCUGACUGAGAUUGAUGUAAAGAUGUAACAUAGAAAUACACACUGAUCUUGUUUGUUCUGAAUUAAAAAAUAUAGCUUAGCUUUCAUUAUGGCUUAUUAGAUCAAUUUAUUCUUAAUAAAAUUGCAGUGCCUUGCAAAAGCAUUCAUACCCAUUGACCUUUUUAACAUUUUGUCACAUUACAACCACAACUGUGUUUUUGGGGGAUUUCAUAUGAUAGAACAACACAAUAUAGGACAUAAUGGAUAUAGCUCUGCCAGUAUGUUUCGGUUCAAUGUUCGCUGGAAGGUAACCCUCCGUUCCAGUCUCAAAUCUUUUUCAGGCUUUAACAGGUUUUCUUCCAGGACUGCCCUGAAUUUAGUUCUGUCCAUCUGUCCAUCAGUUCUGACAAGUUUCUAUGUCUGAAGAGAGGUAUUUCCACAGCAUAAUGUUGUCACCACCAUGUAAUGAGCAGUAUUAGUUUUCUGCCAAGCAGCAUAUUUUUGACUGUAGGCCAGGACCAAGUUUGCUUUUGGUCUCAUCUGACCAGUGCAUCUUCUUCCAAAGUUUUGCCUAAUCCCCUACAUGAUCUUUGGCUACGUUUGUUCCACGAAGGCUAGAUUUGUAAAGUGAAUAACAAAUGUUGCAGUUAGAUUCUCCUAUCUCAGCUGUUGAUCUCUGCAGCUCCUCCAGAGUGACCAUCAGGAUCUUGGCUUCUUCUCUGGUUAAUGCUGUCCUCACCUGGAUUGUCAGCUUAGAUGGAAUCCAUGUACAACAGCUUUUUGUUGGAUCUACAGUCAAACAAAGGUGCGACAGGCAGGUGCAGCUGCACAGGUGUUCUUCAUCUGGAGCAAUCAAAGAGGAGCUUCAAAUACUGCUGAGACCUUGGAGGAGGCAUCAGAUUGUUGAUUCAAUUUGAGUGGUUCCUGUCAGCUGACCCCUGCUCAGGAUUACCUACAAGGUUCUGUGUCACUUCCCGCUGGCUGACUGCAAGCCCUCGUCCUCGAUAACCCGCCGUGGUUCCGCCUCCUAACAAGUUGGUAAAUACUUCAAUGAAUUUACCACAGCCCAAGGAUCUCCCUGGAUCCACUGGACCAGAUCAAAUAUUCAUUCCUCGCUCUACGUGCCCUGCCUGUUCACAAGGCCUUACACCAACUGGAGAAACCUGCUCACGCCACACACCAACCUGCCAACCUCAGCCUCUGUGGUUUGCUCACUCCUCCCCAGCCUCAACGUAAUAACCAAAAGUGAGCUGAUUCCAGAAACAUGAAGGCUACGGAGUCCUGUUCCUGCCAGAAAACUCCAUCUCAAUAAACCUGCUAAAACCAAUUUUGUUUCUGAGUUGUGCUGCACAAAAUUACAAUAAAGAAAGGCUUGGAAUAUA